UACAGAGGGUGCAAGCGUUCAUCGGAAUUACUGGGCGUAAAGCGCAUGUAGGUGGAUACUUAAGUCGAAUGUGAAAGCCCCGGGCUUAACCUGGGAAUUGCACCCGAUACUGGGUAUCUAGAGUAUGGUAGAGGGAAGUGGAGUUUCCGGUGUAGCGGUGAAAUGCGUAGAUAUCGGAAAGAACACCAGUGGCGAAGGCGGCUUCCUGGACCAAUACUGACACUGAGAUGCGAAAGCGUGGGGAGCAAACAGG
Molecule: unclassified non-coding RNA, 253 nt
Filed under: uncultured Gammaproteobacteria bacterium
Lineage: Bacteria; Pseudomonadati; Pseudomonadota; Gammaproteobacteria
Description: contains 16S-23S intergenic spacer region
Rfam family: Bacterial small subunit ribosomal RNA
Source: RNAcentral